RNAcentral lists this ribosomal RNA (476 nucleotides) under uncultured bacterium. Its description in RNAcentral is "bacterial SSU rRNA". It matches the Rfam family "Bacterial small subunit ribosomal RNA", at positions 8 to 471 of the family's 1533-position model. The record is from RNAcentral.
AGAGUUUGAUCAUGGCUCAGGAUGAACGCUAGCGACAGGCUUAACACAUGCAAGUCGAGGGGCAGCGGGGGAGUAGCAAUACUCCCGCCGGCGACCGGCGCACGGGUGAGUAACACGUAUGAAACCUGCCCGUAGCAGGGGGAUAAGCGGAAGAAAUUCCGUCUAAUACCGCGUAACAACCCUUGGAGGCAUCUCCUCGGGUUUAAAGGGAGCGAUUCCGGCUACGGAUGGUCAUGCGUCGCAUUAGCUUGUUGGCGGGGUAACGGCCCACCAAGGCGACGAUGCGUAGGGGUUCUGAGAGGAAGGUCCCCCACACUGGUACUGAGACACGGACCAGACUCCUACGGGAGGCAGCAGUGAGGAAUAUUGGUCAAUGGCCGCAGGGCUGAACCAGCCAAGUCGCGUGAGGGAUGACGGUCCUAUGGAUUGUAAACCUCUUUUGUCAAGGAGCAAAAGGCGCCACGUGUGGCGUUUUG